RNAcentral lists this unclassified non-coding RNA (447 nucleotides) under Hevea brasiliensis (rubber tree). Lineage: Eukaryota; Viridiplantae; Streptophyta; Magnoliopsida; Malpighiales; Euphorbiaceae. The record is from RNAcentral.
UCCCGCGGGAUAAUAACCUGACAAAAAACUGAAGACGACCCGGAAACCUAGUUGACUGAGUGAACACCGACGAUGAAGAUGAAGAUGACGAUGACGGAAGCUGUUGCAGCGAUGAUGAAGCUGAGUCAGUGCUGUUGUUCUGAUGAUGACGUGGAGCAGAAUCGGUGAAAGAGGUAAGGACAAAUUGGUCUUUUCUCAUCCUGACGGCGGAGUGUACUAAGUAUAGCUCCGAUGAAACAGCGUCUUCGUCGGCAGCAUAAUCUUCAAGCUUCCGUUUAGGAUUAACUCCGGUCAUUGAAAUUCCGGGGUUUUACUCCAUAGAAGAAUCAUAACACCAAAAUCCACCAAAAAAAAAACUACACCCACUAAUUUUUUCUGCUGAGUUCAAAAUUUCCCUCAAUCAAAACUGAAAACAACAACACGAAGAACGAAGAAGAUGAAGAGGAG